GUCCCGAGCAUGACUAUAAACUUCUCACCGCCAGAUAUUACAUCAUUUGAUCACUGAUGGCUCAAUGGUAUCCGGCGGACAACCGAACAUCACAGCUGCCUUUUGAGCGGGUUGCUGCAAUCCGAAACGGAGAGAUUCGUUUGGACUGCGGUUGGUUUAUCACACCCAUUUUGCAGCUUUCAU
This 183-nucleotide non-coding RNA is filed under the name unclassified sequences. RNAcentral's name for it is "DUF2800 RNA". The stretch from base 28 to 183 matches the Rfam family "DUF2800 RNA". Rfam says of the family: Actinobacteria, Firmicutes, Synergistetes (1 example). Terminator (Clostridia) The record is from RNAcentral.